UACAGAGGUCUCAACCGUUGUUCGGAUUCAUUGGGCGUAAAGGGUGCGUAGGCGGUCGCGCAAGUCGGAUGUGAAAUCUUGGGGCUCAACCCCGAAACUGCAUUCGAUACUGCGUGGCUCGAGUACUGGAGAGGAGACUGGAAUUUACGGUGUAGCAGUGAAAUGCGUAGAUAUCGUAAGGAAGACCAGUGGCGAAGGCGAGUCUCUGGACAGUUACUGACGCUGAGGCACGAAAGCGUGGGGGAGCAAACAGG
This 254-nucleotide ribosomal RNA is filed under the name uncultured bacterium. RNAcentral's name for it is "partial 16S ribosomal RNA". It matches the Rfam family "Bacterial small subunit ribosomal RNA", at positions 524 to 776 of the family's 1533-position model. The record is from RNAcentral.